This is a long non-coding RNA of Oncorhynchus tshawytscha (Chinook salmon), 855 nucleotides long. The record is from Ensembl. Lineage: Eukaryota; Metazoa; Chordata; Actinopteri; Salmoniformes; Salmonidae.
UGAGCAUUUCUUACCAUUUAUUGCAUUGCUUUCUUCAGUGAAAUACAGACUGUAUAAAACGCCAAAUAUACCAAAAGCUAAAUGAAGCAGUGAUUUACGACUAUUUAACCGUGUGUUAAUCCUUACUGAAACAUUCAAACUACAAACAUUUAACCAGUUAAACAUAAUGAAUACAUGACAACUAGAUACAAACAUUUUAUAAAAAAUAAUUCAUACAAAAAGUCAAGAGUUGGCUAUAACAUGAGUACAAACAAAGUGAGUGUGUUUGUGUACAUUAUAAAUUCCCCAUCAUAAAAAUGUAUCUCCAUUCCCCAAUCAAACACCUUCAUCGACACCAAAAGCAAAACAAAAAAUGUGUACUUUUUCUCCAAUCUGGCAACCCAUAAAAUUCUACAUAGCCUUGUAUAAAAUGCAUUAUGAAGAAAAUCGUUUGUCAGAAUUAAAACUGGGAACUCACAGCCUUUAUCCUGCCAUGAAUAAGUACAACAGUGAUGGGUUUUGUGGGAUUGAAAGGUAUGUCAAUGUUACAUUUACCAGUCAUUUUUUACAAAAGAGAACAUAGAUGUAAGGUUGUAAGGCAAUGUCAAAAUCAGUUCAGGGUAACAAUGGAGUCCCUAACUGUGAUUGUUUUUUAAUUAAAAAUUGUUUUAAAAAAUAAAAAUAAUUAGCUUCUCAGCAAAGAGCAAUUGCUCAAGCAAGAAUUUUGCAAUGACUGUCUAGGAGUGGUGUGAGUGGAGGAGGGGAACCUAGCUGUUAUUGGCAGAGAGGGUCUGAGUGGGGAGGGAACCUAGCUGUUAUUGGCAGAGAGGGUCUGAGUGGGGAGGGAACCUAGCUGUUAUUGGCAGAGAGGGUCUG